ACCUCCUACGGGAGGCAGCAGUGGGGAAUAUUGCACAAUGGGCGCAAGCCUGAUGCAGCCAUGCCGCGUGUAUGAAGAAGGCCUUCGGGUUGUAAAGUACUUUCAGCAGUGAGGAAGGCGGGUACGUUAAUAGCGUGCUCGUUUGACGUUAGCUGCAGAAGAAGCACCGGCUAACUCCGUGCCAGCAGCCGCGGUAAUACGGAGGGUGCGAGCGUUAAUCGGAAUUACUGGGCGUAAAGCGCAUGCAGGUGGUUUGUUAAGUCAGAUGUGAAAGCCCGGGGCUCAACCUCGGAAUUGCAUUUGAAACUGGCAGACUAGAGUACUGUAGAGGGGGGUAGAAUUUCAGGUGUAGCGGUGAAAUGCGUAGAGAUCUGAAGGAAUACCGGUGGCGAAGGCGGCCCCCUGGAUAGAUACUGACACUCAGAUGCGAAAGCGUGGGGAGCAAACAGGAUUAGAUACCCUGGUAGGAUAGCG
This 474-nucleotide ribosomal RNA is filed under the name uncultured bacterium. Its description in RNAcentral is "bacterial SSU rRNA". It matches the Rfam family "Bacterial small subunit ribosomal RNA", at positions 334 to 799 of the family's 1533-position model. The record is from RNAcentral.